This 754-nucleotide ribosomal RNA is filed under the name Bifidobacterium sp. HGH0132. RNAcentral describes it as "bacterial SSU rRNA". It matches the Rfam family "Bacterial small subunit ribosomal RNA", at positions 67 to 831 of the family's 1533-position model. The record is from RNAcentral. Lineage: Bacteria; Bacillati; Actinomycetota; Actinomycetes; Bifidobacteriales; Bifidobacteriaceae.
CGGGAUCAUCAAGCUUGCUUGGUGGUGAGAGUGGCGAACGGGUGAGUAAUGCGUGACCGACCUGCCCCAUGCUCCGGAAUAGCUCCUGGAAACGGGUGGUAAUGCCGGAUGUUCCACAUGAUCGCAUGUGAUUGUGGGAAAGAUUCUAUCGGCGUGGGAUGGGGUCGCGUCCUAUCAGCUUGUUGGUGAGGUAACGGCUCACCAAGGCUUCGACGGGUAGCCGGCCUGAGAGGGCGACCGGCCACAUUGGGACUGAGAUACGGCCCAGACUCCUACGGGAGGCAGCAGUGGGGAAUAUUGCACAAUGGGCGCAAGCCUGAUGCAGCGACGCCGCGUGAGGGAUGGAGGCCUUCGGGUUGUAAACCUCUUUUGUUUGGGAGCAAGCCUUCGGGUGAGUGUACCUUUCGAAUAAGCGCCGGCUAACUACGUGCCAGCAGCCGCGGUAAUACGUAGGGCGCAAGCGUUAUCCGGAUUUAUUGGGCGUAAAGGGCUCGUAGGCGGCUCGUCGCGUCCGGUGUGAAAGUCCAUCGCUUAACGGUGGAUCUGCGCCGGGUACGGGCGGGCUGGAGUGCGGUAGGGGAGACUGGAAUUCCCGGUGUAACGGUGGAAUGUGUAGAUAUCGGGAAGAACACCGAUGGCGAAGGCAGGUCUCUGGGCCGUCACUGACGCUGAGGAGCGAAAGCGUGUGGAGCGAACAGGAUUAGAUACCCUGGUAGUCCACGCCGUAAACGGUGGACGCUGGAUGUGGGGGCAC